RNA transcript from Manihot esculenta (cassava), 4593 nucleotides. It is a transcript of the gene named putative pentatricopeptide repeat-containing protein At1g19290, with no coding region annotated. The record is from RefSeq and is a predicted model, not a curated record. The transcript is spliced from 5 exons. NCBI's taxonomy places the organism in Eukaryota, Viridiplantae, Streptophyta, Magnoliopsida, Malpighiales, Euphorbiaceae.
UCAAUACUGAUACAGAAGCUCCUUUCAUUAGCUCUGAGUAUAGGUGCCAAUGCGUUGGGAUUGUUAAUUAGAAACUGGGUUGAUGUCUCUUCCUUCAGACCAAUCCUUGCUGAAAAGAUUCUACAUUGUUAAAGAACAUUUACAUCACACGACAUGUAGUUCUAUUGCCAUGUUGCCUGGGCAGAGCCUUUGGUAAUGGUACUGCUUAAGUUCAAAGCCUGGAGCUAAGUGGAUGCCUAAAGUGGCCAGAUGUUAUGAUGGUCGGCCGUCAAAUCUCCUCUAAUGCUCAGGUGCUUUCCAAUCCCAUAUUCCUCUCGCCUCCACUCUCACCUCCGCCCGCAAAAAUCCCUACACUGGAAGCCCCGCCACGAAUCCAAGCUUACCCGCCCCGAACUCCUCGACCGUAUCUCCCGCCUUCUCAUCCUUGGCCGCCACCAUGCCCUCAAAAACCUUAAUUUCGAUUUUUCCGAUAAUCUUCUCGAUUCUGUUCUCCUCAAACUCAAACUGCAUCCUACUUCCUGCUUGAAUUUCUUCAAAUUGGCCUCGAAGCAACCCAAUUUUAGACCGAGUGUAAAGUCCUACUGUAAGCUUGUUCACAUUCUGUCUCGUGUUCGAAUGUACAAUGAGACCAGAUCCUAUUUAAAUGAAUUGAUUGGUCUUUGCAAGAAUAACUACUCUUCGUUUAUUGUUUGGGAUGAGCUUGUUAGAGCGUAUAAGGAGUUUGCUUUUUCGCCUACUGUUUUUGAUAUGUUAUUGAAAGCAUAUGCUGAAAAGGGAAUGACAAAAUAUGCACUCCAUGUGUUUGAUAAUAUGGGAAAGUGCGGUUUCGUACCGAGCUUGCGAUCUUGUAAUAGUUUGUUGAGUAGUUUGGUUCGAAAAGGUCAAAGUUACACCGCAGUGCUUGUUUAUGACCAAGUGGACAGGUUAGGGAUCGUGCCUGAUGUUUUUACUUGUUCUAUUAUGGUUAACGCAUAUUGCAAGGAGGGGAGGGUCGGUAGAGCUAUGGAGUUUGUUAAGGAAAUGGAGAAUUUAGGUUAUGAAUUGAAUGUGGUGACUUAUAAUAGCUUGAUUGAUGGGUGUGUUAGUCUGGGAGAUAUGGAACAAGCCAAAAAGGUUUUGAUUUUGAUGGGUGAAAGAGGGAUUCUGAGAAACAAGGUCACGUUUACCUUAUUGAUUAAAGGUUAUUGUAGACAACGGAAGUUUGAGGAAGCGGAGAAGGUGCUUCGGGAGAUGGAGAAAGAGGAAGGUGUGGUCUUGGAUGAAUAUGCUUAUGGUGUGUUGAUAGAUGGAUACUGUCGAGUUAGCAAAAUGGAUGAUGCUAUUAGGGUACGAGAUGAGCUGUUAAAUGUAGGAUUGAAGAUGAAUUUAUUUAUUUGCAACUCAUUGAUCAAUGGUUAUUGUAAAAAUGGUCGAGUUUGUGAAGCAGAGAGGUUGUUAACAGCUAUGGGGAACUGGGACUUAAAACCAGAUUCUUAUAGUUAUAGUACCCUUGUGGAUGGAUACUGUAGAGAAGGUCUUACAAGUAAGGCUUUUAAUGUUUGCAAUUUAAUGCUUCAGGUUGGAAUUGAACCUAAUGUUGUUACUUAUAAUACUCUCAUCAAGGGCUUAUGCCGUGUGAGUGCCUUUGAGGAUGCUUUGAACCUUUGGCAUUUGAUGCUAAAGCGAGGUGUGUCUCUUAAUGAGGUCAGCUAUUGUACUUUGCUUGAUGGACUCUUCAAAAUGGGAGAUUUUCCAAGGGCUUUGUCCCUGUGGAAUGAUAUCCUAGCAAGGGGUUUUGGAAGAAGUACAUAUGCUUUCAAUACUGUGAUUAAUGGUUUGUGUAAGAUGAAGAAAAUGGCUGAAGCAGAGGAGAUUUUUAGUAGGAUGAAGGACUUGGGUUGUAAAGCUGAUGCAAUAACGUAUAGAACUCUGAGUGAUGGGUACUGUAGACUUGGAAAAGUUGAAGAAGCUUUUAAAGUUAAAGAGAUAAUGGAAAAAGAAGCGAUUUCUCUUUCCAUUGAAUUGUAUAAUUCUCUUAUUUAUGGACUUUUUAAGUCCAGGAAAACAAGUGAAGUUAUGGUCCUUCUUUCUGAGAUGUGCAUUAAGGGAUUAUCUCCUAAUGUUGUCACUUAUGGAACCCUCAUUGCUGGGUGGUGUGAUGAAGACAGGUUGGAUAAGGCUUUUAGUGCAUAUUUUGAUAUGAUUGAAAAGGGGUUUGCUCCUAAUGUAAUUAUUUGCAGCAAAAUUGUCAGUAGCCUCUAUCGACUUGGAAGAAUAGAUGAAGCAAAUAUGUUAUUGCAGAAGAUGGUGGAUUUUGAUGUUUUUCUAGACCAUGGAAGUUUUGACAGGUUCCAGAAGGCAGAUGGUAGAUAUGUGGACAGUCAGAAAAUUGCAGAUACUCUUGAUGAAAGUGCUAAAAGUUUUUCUCUACCCAACAGGGUGGUGUACAACAUAGCUCUUGCAGGGCUUUGCAAGUCUGGGAAAAUUGAUGACGCAAGAAAUCUUUUCUCAGGCUUGUUGCUGAGAGGCUUCAAUCCAGACAAUUUCACAUACUGCACUCUGAUUCAUGGCCUUUCAGCAUCUGGUAAUGUGAAUGAAGCUUUCUUCUUAAGGGAUGAGAUGAUGAAAAGGGGUCUUGUUCCAAACAUAGUUACGUACAAUGCUCUAAUGAAUGGCCUGUGUAAAUCAGGUAAUCUGGAUCGAGCAUGGAGGCUUUUCAAUAAACUUCACUCCAAGGGAUUAAAUGCAAAUGUUAUCACUUAUAAUAUACUGAUUGAUGCAUAUUGUAAAAAUGGUAACACUAGAGAAGCCUUGGAUUUGAGAAACAAGAUGUUAAAAGAAGGGAUUUCUCCUUCCAUAGUUACGUGUUCUGCCUUGAUUUAUGGUUUUUGCAAGCAAGGAGAUGUGGAAAAAUCUAUUAAGCUUUUAGAUGAGAUGACAGAGGUCUUUGUGGAUCAAAAUCUGGCAACGUUUCUCAAGUUAGUUGAGGGUUAUAUUAAACAAGGAGAUGUAAAGAAGAUAUCCAAGCUUCACAAUAUGAUGCAAGUGACUUAUCACUCUGCCAGUGUUAUUUCUCAUAAACAAAUGGAGUUAGACGUGUUCUCAAAUGCUAAAAAAAUACUGGACCUGGAUUCAUGUAUUAUGUCUCAAGCUGUGAGUUGUUGAAUGCUCGGCGAACUAGGAAUUUGUUACAAAUUUUGUUCAGUUUAUAACCACUGUGCCUUAUCCCAAACAAGUUGGGGUCAGCUACAUAGAUUCUUUGUUGCCAUAUGGCUUUGUUAGACACUAUCUCUAUUGAGUUUGCUCUUAAGUUAUUUUGAUUACAGCCAUCUCCUUGAGAAGGCCAGGAUAAUCAGUCUGUUUCAUCUUGGCUUUUAGUGCUACAAUUCUCUCAUCUCUGCAUGUACUGGUGUGAUUGCUUUGGAGGGCUUACUGACUUACAACUGUGCGGCGAUCCCAAACAACGUGUUGGCUAUAUGGAUUCUUUGUUGUACAGUUGUCUCGUCUCUGCAUGUACAGGUUAAGAAGACAUAUUAUGGAUGGCAGUAGGUUGAAUGUGAAAAGGCCAAUCCAUAGCAUAGUGUUUCUUGUGGAAAUAGCUCACCAUGCCCGAUUUGUAAUUGAAGGCUAAAGGCAGGAGACAGAUUUUCUCUUCUGGACCCAACUGUUUUUGAAGGCUGCCUUUUAAAACGAGAAUUGGAGCAUGGCAGAAGUUAAAUUUUUUUGUCGAAGUCCAAUCACUAUGCAUUUCUGUGUAGGAGCUUGUUUGGCACUACAAUAAAUUCACCUACAGCAUAUCACCAUAUACUCGAUCAACAUGAUGCCAAUAUUUGGGACUUGGACUGCUUUUUUAAGGUCCACGCCUGGAGAUAAAAGAUGUUGCUUCACCACCAUCCACAUGAUAUCCUGGAAAGCCAGCCCAUAUCCCUAGGAUAUGCAUUGAAAUAUUAUACUUGCCCGCUGGCCAGGUACCUCUUCCCAGAAAUCUUAAUUCUAAUUUUUUAAAAUUAUUUUUUUUAAUUCUUUUAUGAAAAAGUUAAAGAGAAACUAUAUAUCAAGCAUGAAAAUGUUGACACAAAUGUAUUGUUGAGUGUUACUUUCAAAAAUUUUGGUGCUUCAAGAUUUUCUUACUAAAUUUUGAACUUGAAGAAUCGCUUGUUGAAUGGAGAACAUUGCCACUUGUGUGAAAUAUUAAUGCAUUUAUCACCGGAUUAUUAUGCAUUCUGCACGUUAAGUCCCUGAGAUGAUAAAUGUGAUGGACAGAAGCUAGAAAGGCUAACCUAUUGAGCAUGAUAGCUGAUGCACAAUGGCUGUCAUGAGGUAUUGUAAUUUGUUUUUUUAUUAAGCCAAAAAAAUAUGUCGUAGUUUAUUUCAUUCGCUGAAUUAAGUAGUUAAUCAUCUGAUGAACCCAAUAAUAAAUUGGAAAGAUAAGACGUUGAUAAGAAAUGUGAACUUGAUGUGCACAUAGUUAUCUAGUUUUUGUUUUUGAGUUUGAAGGUACACGGAAGCUAUAACUCCAUUGUUUGGAAUUUUUGAAGAUUCCAUUGUUUGUCAUCAAGACUCGGUCAUGAUGGUUGUUAUCAUUAUAUUUUAAAUACAUCAUGUAGUUUAUAC